RNAcentral lists this long non-coding RNA (29589 nucleotides) under Gallus gallus (chicken). RNAcentral's name for it is "lncRNA (ENSGALG00010018400.1)". The record is from RNAcentral. Lineage: Eukaryota; Metazoa; Chordata; Aves; Galliformes; Phasianidae.
CAGGAUGGGGCUUUCAGUUACCUGUAACAUUUCAGAAAUCUCAGAAAUGAAGCAUGAAGCUUGUUCCAGGGAGUGACAGCUCCCCAAUAUAUUGACUAUUCUCCUGUGCUGUUUUCUGUCCGGUUUUGCCUUUUAGGAAAAAGAUUGCUGCCAAGAAACAUAGGCAGUGAGUGUCCCCAAGCCCUAAUUGCGAUAACUGGGCACUGAAAUCUAUUUCAGUUUGGAUUUUUUUGAUGUUCCUAUGCUUUCUAUGUUUUUGUCGUUGUUGUUGUUUGUUUUGUUUUUGUUUUCCCCUUUGCUGAGCUUGGAAAAGUGGUUGUGGAAUGGAUCGGUUUACAUUUCUUUUUGAGUAUAUACCAACUGUAUUAAGAGUUAAAUAUGAAAAAGGAUGAAAAUAAGUACGAAAGACAACAUCCGUUCUCAUUUCAAUUUCCUGGAAGGAAAGUGCGGUUGGGCAGAUGGUGCUUUUUUGUUUUACUAAACUGAAUGAUCAGAUGUAAAUAAUAUAACCAUAUAAACUAUAAAGAUCGUUGGAGGUGGCUGAAUUGUACCUUAGCUAUUUCUGUUCCCAUCCAUGGAGAACCAGGACACUGAGUUUCUGGUUAAACAGGUAGAGGAGAGUGGCUGGUAAUUUGGCAUCACGUGAGUCUCGAUAUUUCUCUAUUAUUGUUAAUUUUCUUCAUACCCUGGCUUUAUUAUGUGUUAGGUGAAUUUUUUUUUUUAGUUUGAUGUGAUUUUUAUGUGUUUGGAGCUCUGCUUUUAUUUGCUUUCUACGUUGGAACACUAAAUAUUCCUAGGAUGUAGAAGAAUUUGUGUUCUCUGGUAGUUACAAAAGGUCCUUAAAAAAAAGGAAAACAAACAAACAAACAAAAACCCAACAAACAAAAUAAUCCCACCUCUUCUAAUCAUGAAUGACUAAACGUGACUCAGUAAGGUCACUAAUACUGUCUUCUACACUGAAGGAGGAGAAAAAGACCUUGUGUGAUGAACGUCUAACGAAAUAAUACUAUGGUUUCAUUCUCAGCUAGGAUCAAACUGUAUGCUCUUUAUUUCUCCUCAUAUCCUGCAUGAUGGGGUUCAGACAGAGGGCUUGUUUGUAUUCACACUACACGAGCACCUCUACCAGUGGUAGUGAACUAGAAAUAAUAAUGCAAACCUCUUAGUAAGUUAUAAUAUCCCUGAACACCCUCCUGGUCCAUGGUGACAUCAUGAAUUUGAUGCCUUUUUACUAGAUAAAUGGACACAGCAGAGGAGGAGAAGACAUUUUCUUGCUGAAAGUGUAACACUGUAUUCCUCAGGAGAAAUGACACAUACAAAGUUAUAGAAAUCAAAUAUAAAAUCAGAAUGACGAGAUCUGUGGAAAUUUGAAUACAUAAUAUCACUGCUAUAACUCCUCAAAAAAUCAAAAUGUGGAGGCCAAUUAGGUGAUUAAAUUAAGCUGAAACUGACUUUCUGAAGUUCAUAAAAAAUUAGGAGUAGUAAGAGAAACUAGUUAGUUUUUUAUAAGCAAAUAGGAAUGUCAAAUGUAUAUAAGAAAAUUGAUUGGGUUGUGGUAUUUUUGUUGUUGUUGUUGUCGUUGUUGCUUUUUUAAUACUUAUUAACCUAAGAGACCUGUUGUCAGGGCCUUAUUCUGAGUUUUUAGCUAUUUUAAACUCAUAACUGCUGGAAUCAAAUGAUUCCACAAGAAUUUCAUCUCUUGUAAAAUAAAAUGUUAGUAGCAAAAACAGAACUUGAAAAUUUGGUCAGAAUAAACCCUAAGAUCUCAAAAAACCAAACCAAACCAAACCAAAACAACAAAAAACAAAACAAAACAAAACAAAAAAGAACACAGAAUCAUAUAUUUCUUUUUAAGCCAUUUCCAUGUUUCCAGAGCCUGAUGUAUUUUUUUUAGGCUCCUUGAUUUUAACAGUGCACAAAAAGAAGGAGCAAUACAUAAUAAUGACAUUACAGCAGUACUAUUCAGAAAGUGGAAGAAAUAACAGAAAAAAAUGUAACUGUCCUCCAUUUAGUCUGAAGCUGCACUGCAAAAGGGAAUGAAUUAGUGCUUGUAGCAAACGUGUCAUUGGAGCUAUGAUUUUAUAGGGGCAAAUUUUCAGCAUUACAUAUUAACUGAGAAAUAAAUCAAACAAAAAGGAAAGACUUAAGCUCACAGAACCUCCUGCCUCAUAACUUUUCUGAAAGCUUGAAAAUCUCAGAGAAAGAGAUUCAUCUCCAGUUGCGCAUGGACAGCUUGGUAAUAAAUAAAUAAUAGAAGAAAUCUAAUAAUUAAAGACUCCAGAGAGAGGUCUUAGGACUGGAGGAAAAAAAGCACCAAAGCAGAGAGGCUUCAGCUCAACUGUGGUCAUGCAUCUAUCAAUUUGUUUUGGUGCACAAAGGGGGUAACUUUGCAGGAGGAUGUGUGCUGCUGAUGGGUACUGCAGGCAGGAAGCAGAGCUGGGGUGCAAGUGUCAUGGACAGACAGUGAAAGCAGCAGAAGCAGCUUCCCAUAAGCGGGCAGGGCUUCGGACGGUUGCUCACUCAUUUUCCCACAGUUAAAAGCUGACAAACUUGAAACGGUUAGGGGCCGAUAAGGCAAGUGUAGUUAAAAAGGAAGGAAAGGUUUUAAACACCUGAGGCCAAACUUCUAUCUUCUGUUGAUCUCAACUGGAAUAAAAUAAUAUUUGCAAGCCCAAGAUGUGACUCCUUGUCUCUUGUACAUAUUCUGAAACCCAUAGAAAUUGAUCAUGGAGUAUUUCUGGCUUUUCUGGCUGACCACACCAUAGACAUUGCUGUCCUCAUGUACAAACAGUUCUGUGCUUGCAGUAUGUCAUGCUAUAGGUAAAUAGUGCAUUAGCACAUUCACUCACAGACAUGUAAUUAUGGAUAGUGCUCUAAACGGAAGAGGAGAGAUACCAUUUGCAAGUAAAACAGACUGGUCCCAGGUUAAGUUACAGUUACCAAACAAAAUGGAGGCAGUCUUCAGGCCCUGACAAGCAGCUGCGAGUAAAACCUGUUGAACAAGUAAGACAUCAAAUGUCCUGUGGCAUCGGAAAGCAAAAAAUCUGAUAUUUGAUUUUUCUUUCUCUUGAAAGAAGCACUUCAUCAUGUAAACCCAAUUCUUUGUUUCGUGAGUGGGCCUGGACUGCCACUGUUCAUUACUAUGGGAGUCGAUGUAGAAAUCAACACAGUAAUGCCUUUCAUCUCUUGUAUUAUAAGAAUUCAAAUUCAAUUUUUAUUUUACAGCACAGACACAUAAUACCUCACAGUAUGGUUCUUGGUUGCAACCAUCCGUUAACAAUGGUUUUGAAAAGAGAUAUAGAACAUAAAAAUAAAACCCUAUUUUUCCCCCCAGUAGUUUGUUUCAUCUUACGAACAAUAGCAAUUCACCAUCUAAAACACACAGUAAUAGUAAGUAGAUUCUAUUAAACACUGUAUUCUUCCUAAUUUUAUUUAUUUAUUUAUUUAUUUAUUUUGACCACUGACAUAGUUAGCUGUUUCACAAAACCAGUGGUCUACAAAGUCUGGCCAACUGAUGCCUUUGCCAAUAGUAUACUAGGAUGCUAAGGGCCUUUCUUAGCUCCCAUACAGCAGACUACUGCACUUUUUCUUAUGCCAGUCAUGGAACUGCAAUACCAUGGGAACACUUAGACCUACAGUGUUUUACAGUGGGGUGCGUGGCCUGAGGUUUACAUGACUAUAACUGAUGCUGAUCAUGUUCUUAAUAAUUUACUCAGGUUCAUAUAUCUGCAUGUUUUACAAGGCUUUCAGUCUGAGUGUUUGACAAUAGCGUAUGCAUACGGUUAAGUGUGAAAGCCAUUACCCAAACAGGUGGACUAACUUUCUGUACAGUGUAUCUUUUAAAGUUGCGUGGUCAUCAUUCCUCCUUUGUCAGUGCUUCUGCUAAAGUGUCAAACUGAGGCUCUUUGCAACCAGUGGUUAGCUCUGUGGUCUAGAGACUGUUUCAUAAAGGCCCUAAAGAUAUUUCAGAAGCUAGGUGGCCCAGCAGAUUCUUUCUCUGGUUAAAAUGCAACAAAAUCCCAUCAGCCUCAGCAGUGAUCAGAGCAACAGAGGAAACAGCAACAUAUGAAAAACAGGGAUGGAGAUAUCCAAAGUAAUCUCACUAGUUUAUGUUAAGAAAGGAUUUGACAGACCUGCUGUGUUCCUACUUAAUGUCAAUCAAGCCUGAGAGGGACCACUUCAUCUCAGGUAUUUAUCUCAUACUGAUUUGAAUUAUUCUCACUUCUUGAUUUGGAAAGUCCAGAACAGAAUACCCUGAGAAGUGUGUGUUGACAUAUCCUACAUAAAACAAAAUUAAACCAAUCCAAGUCAAGGAAAUAAACAAUGUGACAUGAGAAUUGGGCCCUUUGAGUUUGACAACAAAAGUAGUCAAAUGUAGCUCUCAGUCAGGGCUGUAAGUUCUCAGAAAUUCUUCUGGGAAGUGAAAAAUCCAUGAAUUCCACUGCAUCAUCUCCUUCAUACAAAAAGGAUAAGCAAAACACGUGCAGGAAAAAUCAGCUAUAUUAUUAAUCUCUCUUUUUGCUGGUAAUCAAUAUAAGCCUUAUGUUUCUGUUGCAGACGUAACAGUAACUAAAGAGCAGCAUUCGCGGUUAAGUCUGGAUUGUCCUUCUUCAUUAGCCUAAUUCUGUGCAUAUCAAAACUUAUUCAGAAGAAAUUGUUUUAAAUGGUUACCAAGAUAUAAAUGAUUAUCACUGAAAUCACAGGAAAGAUAGUGCUUACCAAAACCCCAAGAAAGUACUUCAGACAAUUUUUCUUUCAUUGCCAAGCAGCGAAGGUCAAGUGAACUGUACUAUUUGCAAAUAUCCACCUUCCCAGUCUGUCACGAGCAGCUGUAACAUACCCACCAGCAGCAAUUUCCACUUGGAUCUAUCCAGAGGGAAGAAAGUACCAGGAAUUGCAUUGUUUAUAAUUCCCUCAACGCCAAGGGUAAUUCUGUUCACCAAUUACUUGAAAUUAAAGCUAGGUAAUUUGACACGUCUGUUUGGUACCCAACCACAAAAUACCUCUUAAGCAAACCAAAGAGUUGGAAAGUUUACUUCCACAAUACUUUACAGAAUUUCAUUAUUGCAGCCAUGACAGUAAAGUACAAAUGAGAAGUUACAUAAACUCAUGAGUAGCUGGGGUUUGGAGGGGAACGGAGUUUGUCAUUGUUGCCAGUGUUAAGGAAUGCCAAUGGGUUUGACACAGAGCUGGAAGGCAGUUUUCUUCCAAGGAUGAGGCUUCCCAAUCAAAUAUAGCAAAUAUAGUAAGAAUUGAGCAACAAGAAGCUUCCAAGUGCAAUGUUGGACAGAAAAAGAAUGCUGUUCUCUGCAAUUAGGAGUGUUCAUACGUUGUGUCUUUGCAUGCAGUUACAAUGCUUCCUAGAAAAAGGCAAUGCAUAUGCAGAGAAAGAAUUACCCAUAUUAUCUACAGCCGGUAUUUUUUUUUAUCUUUAAGUCCACUCAUUUAAGUUACAUAAUUGAAGCCUGAGUUAGAUUAUAUCUAGGCUUGGAUUUUUUUUAAAGUCAAAUAAACCUCUUAAACAUUACAUUGGUGAUGAGUUUGUGUACACACCACUUCCGUAUCUCUUUGUGAGUAACAAACUAGCUGUCAGGUAUCUCCACUGAACUGCAUGACUCACUCCGUGGAUUCAUUUUACAAUCUGGUAAAACCGGUAACUGAUAACACCUAUCCUUUGUAAGAACUUUUUAGGUGUUUUAAUUUGACAAAUGAACAUUUACAAAAAUGAAUAAAUAAAAGAUUAGACUGAUGAAGUUUAAAAACACAAAAGAUGACUCAAAAAUCCAUUCACUCAACAUUAUUUUGAGCAGUAUAGCUAAUGUCAGUGAAGUGAGCCUAGUUCUCCUUUCCAUCAGGAUAAAUGAGGUGUAAUUUCAAAGACACCAUUAUCCUUAAACAGUGUAAAAUAAGUGAACAAGAAAUACAGAGCCACUAUCUUUUACUAGUCAGAGGAGUCAAUUUUUAAUUGUGUAAUCUCGAUCUUGUUAACAUAGCUUCCUAUUUAGAAACUUUAGUGCCAAAUAAGUAGAAGGUGCUAUAUUUUUUAACUCUGAAUAUGAUUACCCUUUCAACCAUAUUCUGCAUUUCAUUUUUACUAUAGAAGUUGUUCGUUGUCCAAUUUCAAGCUGAAAAACUAUAAAAGUCCAUUUUGACUUCACUAUAGAAGAACUAAAAGUUUUUUUUUUUUUUUUUUAACUAGGAUUAAAUUGAUAUAUCUAGAGCUUCAGUCAUUGUAAUAUGACAUUAGGAGCAUAGUCAAAUACUAGCUUUGACUAUAAGUGUCCUACUAAAGUAGCAGUCUACUGCAGAGUGCUUUUUGAUGUAUCAAAGAAAUGGUACUAUCUUUCAAACUGCAUUCAUAUUCUAACCUCCUAUCAUCAAGGUAAAGUAAUAGCAGGACUAAAGCAUGAUCUUUUUUUACAGUUUAUAGAAGUCAAUGCUAUAAGGGAUUGCCUAGCCUUCCAUUAGAUAUUCAUGUUUAAAUGAACCACAUAUAGGCUUUCCAAUCUACAAACUCCAUUAAUUAGGUUUUCUCCUUUUCUCUGUCUUUUAUUUUAGGCUUCUUUACCUUCUCCCCUGCUGACACUGCUAUAGCUUCACUAAUGACAGGCCAAGUAAUUUUUCUUUCCCUAAAACUGAAACACUCUUACUGGAACUAUUCACAAAUAUUUCAGUCUAAUACACUUGACCAAUGACUUCAUUACUUAGUGGGUAGAUAAAUUUUUACUUCAUUAUCUUUCAGAUCUGCCACAAAUCAUAUAGAAGGUUCUACCUCAUGAGACUGUUUUUGUUUUGCAAAAACAAACAAACAAACAAAAAAACUUGGUUAGUAGACAAAAUGUCUUUAAAAAAUUCUUCACAUUUAUAGCUUUGUUAUGUCUAUACUAUGUACAGCAGACAGACAGGCAGACAGAGAGUAUACAGCCAUGGGGGAAAAAAAAAAAAAAAAAAAAAAGUAGCAUUAGGAGGAUCAGAGCUGGAAGUGAAUCCCCAGAGGUGGUAAGGUAUGUGUGACAAGAUAACAGAAUUUGGGUUCCCUUUUUUUCCUGGGAACGUUUCCCCACAUAUCUCCUCCACUUUUUCUUUUCCCCUGGAAAGAGCAAGUUUUCAUCCUGAGAGUGGUAGAAUCAAUUCUAACUUUUUUGUUAGUGUGAAUUUAGGACAAAAUAUAGAACUCCACAUUCACGCAGCAAUGGGGAAGAAUCUCUAAAAAUGAUUAUUUACAAAUGAAACAAUGCAUUUAUUUUGAUAUUGUUGAAUUGUGUCACUGAAGUCCACAAGCUUUCUCACUGAAGAGCUUAAAAUACUGAAUAUAUGAUAUGAAUACUACUACAGAAUAAAAUAAAAUUUUGAUAGGAUAAAUUCAGAAGAAAAAAGCAGAAAUGAAUUAAUCUACUUUGAUUUUGAGGCAUUGAAAUAGUUUCUGUUGACUAUAUUGUUAAAAUCAGCAUGUUCUUGUACAGUAUUUAAAAUACAACCUUUCUGAAAACAGUUUUUGAUCAACUUUAUGUAGAAGAAAAUGUUAUUUUUAUUGUUUUUACCAUAAAUGCAUGAAAGGUAUUCAUAAUGACAGACACUGCUGAUGAAAAGAGCCAGAUUAACACAAUGGGUCCUUCCCACAGAACGAACAGGUAAUUAGGGAUGGUAUUGCCAUAUUCAAAAUUGCUCUUUUGUAUCUGAGUCUGUUCUAAAACUGGACCAGCAAACAGUUCAAAUUCCAGACACCUUAAUCAAGCAAAAACCAAUCUUAAUUUCAGGUCCUUCUCCUUCUAAAUGAAGUCUGCAAGAGUAACAAGAAUUGUCCAGUAAAAAUGUGAAUGUGUUGUAAAUGCUACAUGGGAACCCAUGGCUAAAUGAAAGAAAAUGAAAAUAAAAAACUGUUAGUCAUAGACUUAUAGAAUGAUUUGGGAUGCAAGAGACCUUAAAGCCCAUCCAGUUCUAACCCCCUGCUGUAUGCUGGCUGCCACCCCCCAGGUCAGGCUACCCAGGGCCCCAGUCCAACCUGGCUCCAAACACUUUUAGGGAUGGGGCACCCUCAGCUCUCUGGGCAGCAGUGCCAGUGCCACAUUACCCUCUGAGUAAAUAAUUUCCUUCUAAUAUCUAGCCUGUAUCUCUCCUCUUGUAGCUUAAAACCAUUCCCCCUUGUCCUAUCACUGUUGGUCCAUAUAAAAAGUCAGUCUCCCUCCCCCUUACUGAAAGACUGCAAUGAGGUCUCCCUGGAAGCUUCUCCUCUCCAGGUUGAAAAAGCUCUGCUUCCUCAGCUUGUCUUCAGAGGACAGGUGCCCCAGCCCUCAUCCUUGUGGCCCUCUUUAGUUCUGUGUGUAAGCACUUCAUCACAGUAAGGAUGACAGCACUGGAACAGGCUGCCCAGAGAGGCUGUGGAGUCUCCUUCUCUGGAGACGUUCAAGACCCAACUGGAUGCCUACCUGUGCAACCUGGUCUAGGGAGUGAUCUCUAGAGGUCCCUUCCAACUCCUACAAUUCCAUGAUUCUGUGAUUCUAGAUCCAUACCAACUGUUCCCUGUUUUUCUUGUGCUGGGGGUCCUAGACCUGGACACAAUAAGGAGAUAACUCUCCAGUAUAGCUGGAUGAAUCUCCAAUAUCAGGAUACAAGAUAACCCUAGUACAGAUCAAAGAAAGUAUUUAUUAUACAAAACUUUUCUCCUGCUCUCAAACGUAAACACUUUAUCUACAGAAACAUUCCAGAUUUGGUCUGGAGGGCAAACUCUGGAAAUGAAAACUCUCCAUCUGUAGAUCCACAAUCAUAGAAUCAUCAAAUCCUUAGAGUUGGAAGGGACCUUUAAAGGUAAUCUAGUCCAGCUUCCCUGCAAUGAACAGAGACAUUCACAGUUAGGUCAGGUUGCCCAGAGCCUGAUCCAGCCUCACACUGAAAGCCUUCAGGGAAAGGGCAUUCACCACAUCCCUGGGCAACCUGUUUUAGUGGUUCAUCACUCUCAGUUUAAAAGACUUUUUACUUAUAUCCAACCUAAAUCUACCCUCUUUAAGCUUGAAACCAUUUCCUGAUUUCUUAGGUGACCAAUCAGUGCAACACUCAGGAGCAAGGUCUUAGAGACAUUCCUCAUCAGGAUUUCAAUCAUUUCUUCAUUUCAAUGUCAAAUGAUAGGUGGUAGCCAUCAUUGUUGAAUCAGUUCAUACUAACUAUGCAUCAAGACAUGCUCCCCCCACUAUCCAGAUUCUUCCACUUUCUCUUAGAUAUACAGAUCAAAUUUUAUUAAAUUCUUCCUUCUUGUCAAAGUGAAUUACAAGCAUCAGAUGGAUAGGGUUGAACAGCUUAUAAUGUGCACAUAGUAACAAUGCUUCCAGAUACAGUAUUGAAUGAAUGAUAAUGUAUGCUGAUACUGGCUCAGCUGACACGCUAUGUGGCCAAAAUUCAUUGUUACAUCAGAAAAACAAAAAUCAGGAAGGACUGUGAAGAAGGAACUUUCUUGCCAAAUUCAAAUCACAAUAAUGUUGGUAUCACUUGGGAAUAACAUAACUAAAUGGAUCUGAUUUUGCUGGCUGCAGCAGAAAUGACCAGAAAGGAAUGCUGGGCAGACCUUGCACUUCUCUGUAUAGUGCUUCUUCUGCAGCUCACGUGCUCCCAAGUCACACUGUAUAACAGCAAGUACAUGACAGCCUGGUGCCACUCUCUUGUUUCACAUUGUUCUUAUAUGUAACCCUAUUUUGCCUGCAUAAAUAGGGAGGAAUUUCCAAUUCUGCAGAGAUACUACAAGUUUAGUCAUGAAGAUAAUUAAGUCCUUUGGGCUUGAACUACCCAAACAUUUCAUACUUGAAAGAAAUUCAGAUAUGACUCUUAAUGCCUGGACUACUGCCAUCUAAACAGUUUGGAUUCAUUUGAGGUUUAAUAUUAGCUCCAAAUUCUUCUUCACGUCAAUUCAUCAUUCAGAUAUUUACUAUUCCAAUUAUUAGUAUUAUAUAAUAGUCAGACAUUCUAAGAUACUGUACUGCCUACUGCUACCUACAUAUGAAAGCAAGCAUACAUCUUUCAAAAACUUCAAAUUUAAUCAGCAAAAAAUAGAAAAAAAAAUAUAUCAAAGAAGAAAAAAGUUAUUAAAGCAUUUUUCCAAAGAAAAGGAAACAUAGGAAGAGCCCAGUCAGUUGCCCCCUAAAAAAACACCAAUGAUCUGGAGGGAAACUCUUGAAGAUUAUAAUCUCCCAAAGCAAUGGGAAACUUCGUUACUAGGUCAUUUUACUAUGAACUUUUUGCAGCAAUAAUUAUUUCUCAUUUUUGUUGAUCACUGCAGUCAAAUAAAAUUAUUUUUACACAUUCCAGAACAUAAAGAACUCCAGCACUGAAAUAAAUAUUUUUUCCAUUGACAGAAACUUAGAUCUUGAGGAAUUUACCAAAAAUGUAGGUACGUCUUGAUACAACUGUGAUGGUCACAUAAAAGAUACCUUGAUACCGAAACAGGAACACUUGCUUAAAAUCAAGCUUCAGUGUCUAGAGAUCUUUGAAGGUAAGGAGAAAGGCAGAAGAGCUGCAUUUAUCUAGGAUUACAGAAUCACACAGAAUUGCAGGAGUUAGAAGGGACAUCAAGAGAUCAACAAGUCCCCAUUAGGACAUGCACCUCUGUGCAAGAUUCUCAGCAAUUUUACUUGCAUUUCUAAGUAGAGCUCCUAGAACCACCUUUGUUUGGAAAUUACUGUAGUAUUUUAGCAUCAAAACAUGACAAUGUCUGAUUAAUUUUAUAUUAUCGCUAGCAGUAAAUGUGUGCAUAUCAGUAUAUACACAUGCUAUGCCAAACAUUUUUUGAAUUAAUAUAAUUUAGGUCACUCAUAAGCCAUUUGAAAAACAUAAUUGCAAGAAAUAAAAUGAAACCUUUUAAAAAUUUUAUUGCAGUGUAAGGUUAACUCUGAGCUGACUAAAAUCUGGAUACCUUUCAAACCUAUGUUCCUCAUGUGGAGAGCAGUGGGAUAAUUCAAGCUUAGCUAUCUGAUACACUUUCUUCAGGUCUCUGCAGAAGUAAUUAAAACAGAAUAUGGAUAAAUCAUUUGCCAACUUUCAUUUUUAUUCAUAGGCUAAAUUUUAUUCUAAAACUAAUACAAAGCCAUAUUUUACUGUUGAUCAAUGUAAAUCCGAAAUGAUUGUGAGAUAGAAUACGAUUCACUUAUAUUUAAGACUAACAAAUGAAUGUCUUUUUCACAUAGAAAGGGCUUCUGAAGAGUUAUGUAAUUCAAUUUUGUCUUGAAAAAAAUGUGAACUCAGAAUUAUCAAUACUCAUGAAGCAGGUGAAACUGCGUCUUUAUUAUGAAUAGGAGGGUUACUUACAUGACUUGCUUAUGAUCUGACACCCAGAUUUAUUACCUUGUUUUGGACUGAUAUUUUUAUAAUAAUUUCCUGCCUCUUUAGCUUCUCUUUCAGUGGUGAUGUAAUGCAUUACGAAAUGAAGAGAUGAGACUGAAUCUCAAAGAUCUUAGAAAGUUCUGUCCAGUUGAUUAGGGACUGAAAAGAUUUUUUUACCUUUCAAGGUUAAAUAUUCCCAGAUGAGUCCUAUGCCUAAAAGCUUAGUCCUGCUGUUUUUCAACUAAUCAUUUGCAAAACUGAAGGAAAAAUAAAAAUUAAAAAGGUAAGACAGAAAAAAAAAAAAAAAAAAAAAAGAGAGACUUCUGGUAGGUGAGCCACAGCAGGGCAAUUAAGAUGAUAUGGCAGAGGUAGACAUCUGCUCCUAGACAGAUACAGUUCCACUGAUGCUAUCUAUAGCUGCAAUCCUUCUGAGAGAUAAACAACGUGCGAGAGCAACGCACAGAAGGAAAUACCACACUGAGAAAAUGAUGAUGGGAGACCAAGCUUGCGGCCCCUGUGGUCUGAGAAAGAGUGAGAGGCAGCAAAAGAAAAAGGGAGGGGUGACAUGUGGGGCCUGUACCAGGCACACGCAGGUGACUGAGUCGUAUGAUGGACACACAUCAAGAUGUAAAGCUGGAAGCUGUGUGAGAACUGACGCUGGAGGGGAGCAGAAUCACAGCAAAGAUGAAAGGUACAAUAUGACUGAGAAAAAGAGGAUGGAAAACCUCUCUCUAAGCUCUAUGUAUAAAGCUACAGUUAAACUAUGAUGAAAUUAAAAAUAAUAAUAAUAAUAAUCUUUAACAGAUGAUUUAUUGACUAAGAUUUGAAGGCUUGGAUAGUUUCUCAGACUUUCAAACUCAUAUUUAGGUUCCUCAAAAACUUCAGCUAUACUCCUCAGGGUAGAUGGUUACUUAUUUCUAUUUCAUAUGACUGCCAUAGUGAUGUUUAGACACAGAAGUAGUAUUUCCCCCUCCCCUUCAUGCUUAGUGCAAAACAAACCAAAAGGAGGAUGUAGCAUCUGUUCCAAAUAACUUUCAAGCCAAGGAAAACCGACACUGUUUCAUUUAAGCAGUACUUGGAGGGAGAGGACACCAGGUAAUCAGCUCCCCAAUCUCAGAGAUAGGAGUUCUGAGAAGGUAAGGCAUAUCACCUCCAACCAUCACUGGUAAUGUGGUGGUUCUUUGUGUCACCUGCCCCUCAUGACAUCUGCCUCUCAGUUUGUUGAGAGGAGAGCUUGUUUGCACUCCUCUCAUGUAAGGAGUCUGGCCUCCUAGCAAAACUGAGGGAGCAUCCUUCAUCCCUCCAUAUUUCCUUCACAGCAAUGAAGUCUUAGCAUUCAUUUGCCUUAAAACAAAAGAAAACAAAAACAAACAAACAAAAAACCUCAGGAUUUAAGAAACUCUGGAAAACUUACAGCAAGAAUUUGAGGCCAAGGAGUUUGCAGAGAGCGCAGGCCACCAGCAGCCAGCCAGGAUAUCCUGGUGGGGAGGUGCUCUGCCUUGAAUGAUGUGCUCUCAUUCUCUUCCAGGCUGGACCUAGGGCUUGAUUUGCUUCCACAAAAGAUCAACAGCAUCGAAGUCUCAUCCUGUCAUCCUAUCUCACGCCGUUACCUCAAACCAAAAAUGCAACUCGUAAUAAUUCUUCCUGGUUACCCUGUGGUCUCAUUUGGUUAAAAAUAAAAGUUUCUUUUCUCUGUCUGGGAACAAGACAGCAAUAUCAAGAAGAAGAGUUUAAUUAAAAACUGGAGCUAAUCUCAAGACCUCAUGCUUUGGAAUUUAUUUAUUUAUUUUUAAUGUCUGCGUAUGAAAGGCUCUUGUCCAGAAAAACCUUGCCUAGAAAGUCUGAAGUUUUCUGUGUAUCUGAAGGAGGCAGAGGUGGACUUAAUGCCUUUAACAAGCAAUUCACUUGAGGCUAGAUUCUGCUAUCCUAACUCAGUUUAUACCCAAAGGUGGCAAAUUUAAAUACUUCUUCUGUCGACAGGUUGCUCAUAAAUAGAUAUAAACAGACGGCAUUUACCUCCGAUGUAUUCAUUAUGGAAAAUUGUGCAAUAAGCCUUAUUGUUUGUUUAACUUCACUCGUCUUCCUUAUUCUAGAGUGCAAUCAUGAAUGUUUGAGUGAUGUAGAUGUUGGUUUUAGUUAGUUGUUUAUUGUUUUCGUGGUUUUUUUUUUUUAGACUCUUGCAUUUUUCUUUCUUUCUGCUUAUUUUUAAUUUAUUUCACAUUCACACACAUAAGCCUCAACUUUUCUUUCUGAGACAUGAAAGCUGGAAAAACUCUGUUCUGUGAGUGCGUGCAGAAAGUGAAAGAAAAACAUAAAUGGUAAAUAUCUAAUGUACAUUAUUCCAAAAGCUUAAUUUUUGAAUAUAAGUGUGAAAUAAGGUCAUCCCUUUAUUAAAAUUCACCUAGAUCUACGUUAAAGUAUCAAAACAGGAAUGGUAUCAGGAAAGAACAAAGCCCUCCUACAAAUGUGUUAGUUAUUAAUGUAUAAUUUCUCCUUUUAGAGUACAAUUCUUUCAGCAUAUCCAGCAAAUAAUUCAAAUAUUUGUAGGCCAUCAUAAAAGAUCUGAUAAUUUAAGCUAGUAAAGGAAAGCUGUAAUCUUGGAGAAAUCCCCUUUGGAAUAUCUACAGUGACCAUCUAUCAACAGAGAAAGACAGUUCCAGAGAUAAAACCCCUAAUGUUCAUCAGAGUGUAAUAAUUUUUGGACAUUACAAGUGCUAAUGUAGCUUUGCUAUUCCCAGCUAGUAAUUCUUGGGGAAUCUGUCAGCUAUGGAAAUCUGUGAGAUUAGCCCUGAAAUAUAUACUUGAUUGAUAACUAUACUGUUUCUAUUAUGCUAUGGUCCUGCUUUUUUUUUUUUUUUUUUUUUUUUUUUCGAUUUUUAAGUGUAGAGUGUAAUAUCUGGGGCUUCUGAAAGAAACUAAAGAUUUACUACAGCAUAGAAGUACCCUUCAUUCCUUUUCUUUCAUGCUUUCUAAUGCAGAAAUAAAUAUGCAUAAAUAAUGCAGAAAUGAAUAUUCAUAAACAUGAAACUUAACAUGAGGAACUUUAGAAAAACAUUUAAAAAUAUAUUUUGGUGUAUGUUGCAUUAUUCAAUUUUAACCUACCAUGGUACUUUCAGGUGACAGAUUGUCAUUAUGACUAUGCUUCCUUUUUCACUGGAGUCUAUCACUUCAGAGAGUUCCCACCCCCAUCUCAGCUUUGCUUUGCAAGCUUUUUUAUCUUUUCUACCUUGCUAGAGGCAUUAUUAGGGCAGUUCACCUUUGACCAAAUGGGCAGACGAACAUCCAUCCUCUGGAGCCAAUACUAGUGCUGUUUGGUAGAUGAGCUCUCAAAUGGUACUGAACUGUGACCUCUUCUUCUGUUCAAAGACUAAAUACAUAAACUUGAGCCUCCAUUGGUGCCAAGCCUGGGAACCUGAGUUGCUCCCUAAUCCCAGGUCUUGCAGCCAGCAGCACAAUGGGCAGCUCACCAUGCCAGUCAGCCAGCCUGAAAGAAUGUCUUUAUUCUCUCUUCCUCAACAAAUUGCUUAUUGUUUGGCCCACAGGCUGCUAGACCUUGUGAACUGUCCAAAACUUUAUUGCCUUUCUGUUAAACUUUCUUCUUUUUUCCCUUUGAUUCUGUUUAUAAAUGAAAUGAAUUUAUAUUUUCACUUCUUAGCAGUAUCAUUUUUAAAGAUGACUGUUACUUUUAAUCUUUUUUUUCAGAGUACAUCUGCCUUUUAGAAGCCUGCAGGAACCACAGAAAUAAUGCAAGCUCUGCAGGUUUAGGGUCCUUAGAAAGAAGGGUCUGGGAAAAUGCUAAAUGUUAUAAUACAGUAAAAUGAAGGCAAAUGAUUCAGGUGUUUCCAAAGAUACUGUUUCUCUGCUUUUGGCCUCAUCUUGACUGUGACUGCCCUGUGUCUAUUGUAUAAACAGUGAGUAUAGAACAUAACACUUCUCUUGGUACCCUACAAAAUGGAGUUGUUUAAGGGCAGUUUUAUUUAUUGAAAGUUAAAGCAGAUUGCCUAGUUUGUUAUUUAUCUGUUGAAAUAUUUCUGGAAGCCUCUUUUGUCUUCUGAAAAUGUGACUGCAGGACAAGCAUAAUGUAAGUUAGAGCUAGGCAGAGCACCUGCAGUUUAACAUUGAUAUUGCAAGGUUCAGCAGACUUACCCUAGGAGAAGGAAUGCUCCUCAUCUGUGAGCUCACCACAUGAAGAGAGGAACUGUGAUACAUAAAUAUUGCCAAAAUCAAUACAGGACUGAGGGCUCUUCUUUUCUCUCAUCUCAGUAACCUUUCAUGGAGAAAUGUCCACCUGCUAUCUGGAGAACCUGAAUAUACAGAAGGCCUAGUUAAAAUCAAUUUAAAUACUUAUGCACUUCUGCCUUCAUUUUUUGAACAUACUGUUUAACAAAGAUGUCAAACGUACAGAGUUUUCUGGAGCCAGAGAUGACCUAGGAAUUAUCCAGAUUCCUUGAAAGUUUAUGCAUGUGUGUUUAUAGGCAUAUAUAUAUAUAUAUAUAUAUAUAAAAUUUAAUACCCUUUCAAGUAUAAGAAUGGCAGCACAAGAGUGGAAGAAUUGCAAAACUAAAAUGUCCACAUUAAGCUGAUGCAUGGUACAUAUCAGAUGAUAUAUAUACUGCCUUAUUGUUCAGUUGUGACUCAGGGAGCUAAAUGCAUAAUUUAAGAUAUAUGUAUAGUCUAAGGGUCAAAUGCUGUCAGUUACAUGAGUGUAAAUCAUGAGCAAUUGCACCAAAGUGACUGGAGUUGCAGUACCCUGGAUUUACACAAGUGUUACUGAAAGCAGAAUGUGAGUCAAUAUGUGUCAUCGAUACAAUUGAGUUAGUGGUAUUGAGGGAAUUUUAUGGUAUGCAUGAACCUAAAUUCUUCACAUUUUUCAUUGAUUAAAAUAUUACUUUUAAUGCUUCUAUGCUUCUAUUUUUGUUACUGUUUUUAGAAGAAUAAGUGUCCCAAACUCUGAUUCUGUAAGUGGUAUUCCCACCAAAUUUUCCCAACCCCAGUUAAUAAUGAUAUGGCAAACAUUACAGAGCUGUAGAAGCGUACUUUCUUUACCUAUAUUUCAGGCCAAGAUCUUAAUUUAUAUAAAUGCAGAAUUCUGAACCUCAUGCAGCCUGUUUCUUGGGAAACAUCUGACUACACAGAGAUACAUCCUUACACUCACCUGCUUCCAUUAAUGAUUUCAUGCAUAGCAAUGAAGGGCUAGGAAACAAAAUUUAUUAGACAUAUAGGACAGCAGGAUUUUGAUGCAGGAGGGAGGGCUGUGUACCUGGCUGAAGGGAAUGGGUAUGGAGCAUUGGCAGCUGAAAGUAAAAUCAGCUGUGCUAUAAGAGCAUGGGACAGCUUUCUUAACUGAUUCUUCCUGGGUUUGUUAUUGAGGAGUGCAAGGGAAAGAAAAUAGCUUUGCACCAAAUCUAAGAUACAACUCUAUGGCACAAAUCAAGGAGGUAUAAAAACUGAUAAUCUAUUGGGGAAGUAGUAGAGUACCAGCCAGAUAUUCCUGGCUUUCAAUGACCUUAUUUUGCAUGGAGGAAGAAUAUAUGAUUUUUAGGUUUGAGAGGAGGUUUUUAAUUCUGAAAGGAGGUUAUGUGUUAAAUAUAUGGUAGCAGUCUCUUCAAUAAUAGAAGUCAAGGCCCUUACUUGUGGAGCCAGAAUCUGGUAUUCUAUCACAUAAAAUAAUGCCAUUAUUUCUUAACAUACUUUUAAAUUGAAUGCAUUAUUUUUAAAUCACAUUUUUAUGAUAUUCUUGAAUAUCUAGAAAGAUUAAAAAAGCCUGAAAGUAGAUAGUAGAUUCUCCAAUAUUCGUAUAAUCAAAAAUGGUUGAUUGAAUUUGGAACACACAGACAAAAAAAGAAAGCCAUUUAAGAUUACAGUGAUCAGCGGGGGGAGCUUAUCACUUCAAAAGAAACAGAAAAAUGUGUUUGAACUAAGAAGGCCUGAAUGGAUCUCAACAUCAUAAUGAUAAUUACAGUUAGGGUACAAUUUAUACUAAAAGUACUAUCAUCAAUUAUGAUUGGUUUUCACUGAAUAAAGAUCUAGGAAUUUUUUUCAAAAUGAAGACACAUUUGUCUAUGCUCAACACGUACAUGCACCCUUAGCCAGUUAGAGUACUGUGUAGGCAUAGAUUUGUCAGGAUUCUUUGAUCCCAAAAGGAUUCAUAGAAGAAAAAUUUCUCUUUCUGAGAAAUGAUCUCUCUAGAGACUGAUAGUGAUGAUACAAUAGGCUGGAGUUGCUAUUAUUAAAAAAAAAAAAUUACUACUUUUUCUGACUAUGUUUCUUUUUUCCCAGUGGGAUUCUGAUUCCAGACGUUCUACCAGCCUGACAUCCACUGGGAAAGUGAUGACACCAUAAAUUAUUUAGAGGUUUGAAAACCAUGAGAACUACUGUAUAUAACCAGAUUGGAUUGACUUUUUAACUCUUUUGAUUAAUAAUACAUAAAGCCUUGGAUAUGUGAAGUGGUUGAGUGCUAACCUGUUAACAAAAGGAGUAGCAGAGAUGAAUUCUAACAUUUCUCAUAAGUUAUUCUACUUAACACAUUGGCCAAACAAAACAAACAAAUGAAAUGCUCUGCCUUAGUCUUAUACCUUCAGUGCACCAUCAAUAUUUGAUGGCUACCUAAUGUCUCUAUAUAUCUGGCCACCAAUGAUAUUUUGAUCAUCUGGCUUACCAAUUUCAGUCUUAGCUUCUUUUUCCUGUAUUUGUGAAAACAUGCCACUAGAAAGUAGAAAAAGAGUUUCAAUAUCCUGGUUUCUUUUCUGACUUUCAUUUUAACAUUACUAACUGCUCAGAUGUGAAAAUGAUAUUUCAGCCUUCAAAAAAGCAAGUGAAAACCAGAAUUUCCUAGGUUUAUGGUAUUUUUUCUCUGCAGCAGGAUGGGAGUAGACAUUUGCACUUCUACAGAUAGAUUUCAUGUUCUGCAUUUCUGCUACUGACCCUGUUUUAAUUAUCCACUUGUUUCUUAAGUUUUGUUCUUUUAUAGGUUGCUUUGGGUGGAGCUUUCAGAGAAAAGAGACACUGUUAUUUCCUUCCUAUUGAAAUACAGAAGAUGAUGCUCAUGACAGCCUGCAUUUCUGAGCAACAGAAAAAGUGACAAGAGACGUCACUGUGCUUCUGGGUUGCCUGGCCCGUACUUCAGGAGAUAGGCUAUUCAGGGUGAUUUCAGAGCAACACAUUAAUUUACAAUAGAAAUAUAUAUGUAUAUAUAUAUUUCUGUGCAACUCUCUGGAUGUUUUUGUAUUAUCCCAAAUGACAUUUGACUUCUUUAGAUGUAGAAACAAUAUGAAACACAUUUCUUUACUCAUUCCUGUGCACUUUUCCCUUGCGAUUUCCCAUAGAAUUCAAUUUUCAACUUCUUUCUGCACAGGUACUGGGUAUCUAUUCAACCUGCUGCAUGUCCAGCCAAUAUUAAUCAAAUACUAAUACUAUCAGUUACAGAUACUAGUACAUUCUUUUUACCACCUGAUAUGCCCACAGAAUUCUCCUUCCUUGAUCCCUCUAAUGUCAGAAAUACCUGGAGGCCCAUGGCCCUCUUCUAAUUUUUUUAAACCUUGCAGACUAACCAUUCAUCCUCUCCCUGUCCAGUACCAAUGAUGCCUCACCAAUCAUUCUGGAAGCUAUAAGAUCUGUGUGAGAUUAAUCUAUGUUUAAAAGAAUGAAUAAUUCAAUUCAAAAGCAUGCUUUAAAAUUUUUGUUAGUCCAGGCUCCUCAAUUUGUUCAAUUAUUUUGUUGUAAAUUUUUAGUGAUGCCUUUACUGCAAUAUAUUUGAAUUUCCUACAAUAUGAGUAAAACGAGUCUCACCUCAGCUUUAAGAAAUGAGGACCAAUUUAAGAAAAUUAUAGCAGCCCACCAAUUACACCUGAACAAGGCCUUGCUUGUGACACCAAUAAUAAAUUAAAUUAUUCAGCAAUAUUUAUUAAAUGUUAAUGAGUACCAUCACCUGACUUCCACAAACAGAAGUACUGUGUGAAAUCUGUUGUCAGGUACUGUUUCCUUUUCUGAAAGGAAGUAUCAUCCAAUUUGCGUACAGAUUCUCUCCCCACUCCAAAAAGGAAGUAUAUCCAUAAAAAUAAUUAGAAUCUCUUCUAUAUAAAUGCAUAUGUCCCCCUUCUAUUCUUAUAUUCCCGCCAUAUCAAUAACAGUGUAGUCACAUUGAUUUCCUAGUUAUGAUUAAAUAUAGCACUCAAACAAUUUAUUCUCAUUCUUAAAAAAAUUCUAGAUGUGGUGUUAUUUUUGCAUAUUUUCUUGCUGCAUCUUAAGGUCUAACCGGGUGACUGAGAUCAGCAUCUGACUUUACCAGAAUAGCAUGGAUCUUAGUAUUUUUUGCAUAGUAUCUUUCAACAGCCAUAAUAAAUAAAUAAAUAAACAAACAAACAAACAAACCAACAUUUGUAUUUUUUUUCCAUCUGGGAUUAUGUGACAAAAUGAUCCCCUGCAUCUAAUCAAUUAUUUUUCUUCUCUAUCUUUUGCAUUUUCCUGCAAAACCAUUUGCAAGUAUAACAGAAAGAUUCUUCAGAGAUAAUCUGGUGAUUAUUUCAAAAUCAACCUCGGACGCUGCAGGCAUUAAAAGAUGAAAAUUGCCUGAAGUCCACUGUUGUACAACAGAUCUGUACCUCUGGACUCCUGUCCUGAGGUAAAAAUGCAAACCAGAGAGAUAUUUAGAAUCAUUCUGACAGUUCAUAAAAUUAAGCAGGGAUUAGAGAUUCUCUCGGAAAUAAAUAAAUAAAAGGUAUAAUGCUACAGGGCCAACACAAUGUUAAUCACAUCUCCUUGCAACAGGUAUUACUUCCCCAACACUUUGGGGAAGAAAAAGAAGUCAUAUAAUUAAGCCUGGCAUGUGUUUAGCACUGGUGAUUCCAAUUUAAAUAUCUGAGUGCAUGAAUUCAACAUGUUAAUACAUAUACAUAUGCAUACAUGCACAUACAUAACUAAUAUAUAAACUGCACAAUCAGUUUAAUUGUAUAGGUUUCUACAGAAACCUAUGCAGAAGCCUGUAUACAGAAACCAUUUGUAGGCUUCUACAGAAAUGUUGUGUAUCUUAAGCACCCUAUUUUCCUCUGAAUUUAAUGGAUUAGCCCUGAUGAUAGAAACACUUGAACAUAUUCUUAACAUUACAUAACAAGAGUGCCUUGCUGAUUUUAGGAUAACUUUCAAUCCACAUGAAUUUAAGCAAAAGUUUAACAGUCUACUGGGAAUGUACUCUGUGCUGCCAGUCAUUUAAAACACACAAUUUAUAAGAAAAGAAUUGAAACUACUGUAGCAGACAUAGAUGGUUUUGAUCCCUGUUGCAUCUGCAGCAGGUAAGCCCAAGAAAUUGCAAACAUGAUUAAAAUGAAUACACAGCAAAAAGUGCACAGUGACCACAGAAAUAUGUCUGGGGCAAGCAUGGACUUUUCCAGUCAGACUCCCAAAUUUCCCCACCCACCUUUCAAACUUCUCAGUAUGGUUCAAAAUGUCUCCUCAGCACUGGUUUGCUUAAAAGGAUGCCUUUCCUUUUCUUCCUGGAUGAGCAAACUCUAAUGUACUGCAUUUACACAGUGUAUAAAAUGACUCUCAGUGUAUUAGAUUAGUAUCAUGUUUCAAUAUCUUUGGAAAAUGUUCAAGUUAAAUUAACAUGUUUCUAACAAACUGAAAAGUCCAAAAUAGAACUAGCUGAAGUGGAUUAAAAGAUUUUUUUUUCUUUUUUCUUUUUUUUUUUUUUUUUAGUACAAAAAUAAAUUAAAAAUAACUGCCUAGAGAAUUUUUUCAAGAUAUAUUUUAUGCUCAAAUUACAGUCCCUUUAUUUAAGCUUUGAAUUUUACUCAACCUUCUGUUAAUGAUGUAGAUAUUUUUUGAUAAUAAAUAUUAGCAAAUUUCCUGAUUCAACAAAAGAAGGGAACAUUGUUUUACACAGUAUAUCUUAGACAUCGGAAAUGUAAUUAAUUUUCAUCUUUAAAAAUUUCUUAUGAAAAUUAAUUUCCAUCCCAUUUUAGUCCUGAAUGUUGACUGGAGCUAGGAUAAUACAUCACACAAAUGUUGAUUUAAAUAUUUAAACAAAUUCACUUACUUUGGAUUUACAUCCCCUUUGGGCUCUACUUUCCAUGAAUACUCUGAUAAAUAAGCUUACUGUAAGGACAAUCUGCUGGGAGGGCAAAUUAUAAACAAAAAUUGAAGAAUUCAUGUGGGAUAUGAAUUUUUGAAUUCUAAUCAUCAAUUGUUGCACUAGCAAUUAAAGCUGAUUGGAGGACAGUAAUUCCAUGCUACAUUAAUUUUCAAGACUGUGUCUUCAUGUCUAGUUUGUUUUGGUUUGCUUUUGUCUCAUUUUCUGUACAAAACACAAACUCUUUACACUACUAAAGUGAAAUUGCCUUUAGAAUCAUAGAAUAAUAGAAUCACAAGGUUGGAAAGGACCUACAAGAUCAUCUAGUCCAACCAUCCUCCCAUUACCCUUGCUACCACAAGCUGCUAAACCAUAUCUCGUAGUUUCUCAUCCAGAAGCCUCCUGAACACUGCGAGAGAUAACGACUCCACCACCUCCCUGGGCAGGCCAUUCCAGUGCCUGACCACAGUCUGAGAAAAAGUUUUUUACAUACAAGUAUGUCUGCGUAUUUCAGCCAAGGAUACAACAAAAAGAGAGAAGUCCUUUCUCAGACUGAAUCACAUUUUACUCAUUUUCAUCGAUGAUUUUUAUCUGUGAUGACUCAGUUAGCUGGAGGAGAAACCUGUUCCUAAGCUUUCUACAUCCAAGGCCGCUGCUCUAACCACAGAGCUGUCAGAAAAACCAAAACGUCCACUUCAUUCAUUUUCAUUCUGCAAAAAAUUUCCAUUCAUACAAAAUAGAUAUGUAGCUUUCAGAAUUCAGAGUGCUCCAAUUCAAAAUGGCUCCCGUCUAACACAUGAAUAUUAAGUAACCACAUCUCCUGAGGUAAGGCUGGAUUCCUGACCCAUCGCAGAUUUAUAGGGGAGCAGGGAAAAGUCCUGAAACAGCAUUUAUGGCAUUCAUCCCCCACCACUCCCAGUCUCAUUGAGUCAGGCCACCCAUGUGGCAGCUGAGACUGUUCCUUAAAUAAUCGUCUGGAAGAGCUAAGGAUGACUUUUCACAUUGAAACAUUUCUUUUCUGUAGAAGGAAGAAACUGAGAAGAGACAUGGGACCUGUGCUCUAUAAGAAAAGUGAUACCAGUCUGGGCUCCGCAACUGUCAGCCACCUUCCAUCCCUGCAAGGAGUCAAGGCUUGCACACAGCAGUUUCAGGGUGAAUCUGGAGACCAACAAGCUUCAAGGGUAAAGAAAGCAAGAGAAGUUUCACCUCCUGUCCCCACAAUUUCCUCUGUCUGGGUUGAGUUCCCAGAACAAAGUACAUCUUCAUCGUAGUCUCACAAUGAGAUAAUACCUUGAUGCAAACAGCUUGCUUUCUGCCACUGACUGUUGACACUAGCACAGCCUCAACCAAGUCAUGCUCAUGUCAGUUCGUUCCAACGCAAACAGUAUGAACUUUCACUUUGGAAAUGUUAUGGACUUUGGGGGAACAGUUUAUACAUUGCUAAGCCUAAUGUCAUAUAAGAGUCCAUAACUGCAAUUUAAAGGCCAUAUUAACGAAUAGGCUUGUAUAAAGGAAUUAACAGGGUGUGAAUUUGUGUAUGUGUUUCUGUACAAUUUGUUUGGUGUCUCUGCAUGCAAAGAAGGGCUUAAGCAAGACCUCCUCCUUUCUGAUUUUAUCUCUGAUUUGACAAGUCAUAGUGCUCUCAGUAAGCAGGACUGCAUUUUUGACAAAGUACCUGGCACAUGUUUAGUAAUUUUAGCCAGAAAUUACAUCAUAACAAGUUCUUCUUAUAGACAGCUGAUGAGUGAGCUUUGAUUUAUUUUUAUUUUUGUCCUCAGGAUGAUGGUUUUCUACUUAUGUCAGUGGCCAGUAGUAUAACAAAUCCUUCACCGUAAGUAUGUGUGCAUCAAUUUUUCAGCAAACACUGGCCUUUUGAGGUGAAAAGUUGCACUGUCACUCAUUUGCAAAUUGACUUCUCUCUUGGUUGCCAAAGCCAGUUAAUUUGCAAAUCAACAUUUUACAUGAGCCCUUUAAGCCAAUCCAAGUACUCAGUGGCUGCCAUUGCUAUGUAAUUAGUGUCUAAAGCACUUAAAAUUUAAUUAAUUUUAAAAAAUCAAAAAGAUCAGUGAAUUUGCUCUGUGCAUGGCCAGAGUCUCUUUUGCUGACUGAAUAGAAGAUCUCGAUUUAGAAAAUUACAGCAAGGCUCUGAUAUGGUUGGAAAGGAAUGAAGGAUAUGCACAUAGGCUGACGCAGUCAGAAACGUUAAUUUCACAUAUCUUCAGAAAAAUAAAACACAACCUUCUCAUAUUAAUUCACAAACUGCAUGACAGGUACUAUAAAAUACCAGCAAAUGAGAGUUAGAAGAGGAGGAAGUAGUCAGUGCAAUCAGAGUUGCAUUCCUUUAAACCAGGUUUUAUGCUCGUAGAAUGUAACCUGAAAUAGGUAGAAAUUUCAGCUUUUGUCUUGAAUAGGAUGAAAGAUGUGAAAACUUUGUGGUAAUUAUUUUGAUUUAUGAUGGAGACAGUAUCAGGAGAGAAGUUUGUUUUGGGUGAAAUAUUCAUCUUUUUUGGAGGUAACUUUCAAUUACAAAUUCUUCAUCCAUUUGGGUUAAUCUGGUCUGAAGAAGGAAGUUUCACUGAGGAAGAUGCCAACCAGAACUACAGAGAAGAUGUCUUCAUUGUUUGGAGCCUCUGGCUAUAGAACAGUUAGGUACUGACAAGACAAGGUAUGUGUAGAAAUAGGAUACAUUCUAGAAUGUAGUCUCUUUAAAAGAUAGGCAGGUGGUUGGAGAGAAAACAAAAACAAACAAACAAAUAAACAAUAUAAAUAACAGCAAAACCAGAGAGAUAAUACCCCAAAGAUUACCCCAAUAGAUUUAUUAUGUGUAGUAAAAUCUAUAUUGAUUUCUUCACAUUGGCUCUAUUAACCUUAUUUAAACUUUUCUAUCCUUUCAUGUCUUUUUGGUACUUUUCUUACAUUGGCACAUAAAUGGUUUUAUACUCAACUAAAUGUCUGUCAGACAAAAUUAUAUUUACAAAGAUUGUAGACUAGUCACUGAGGUGGUAGAACUCACACAAAGCUCAAAGGCCAUCUAAUAUUUCUGCUCUUCGUAAGUCUGAUGGACUUACUAGUUGUCUUUACUAACAUACUGAUAUGCAUAAUGAGGAAUCUUGGACAAACUCUGUGCAGAAUUCAGGGCAAAAUAUGCCCUUCUGUUGCUUUAUUUGCACUUCAUAUAUGUCCCUGAGGCAAGCUAGAGGGAGAACUUGCAUCACAAAUGUCACCAUCAUCUGUCCAGUAAUUCCCCAGCAAAUAUCUGGUUGUAUUACACUUGGGUGAGUAGAGUGUGAGCAAGCAAUUAUGGUAGAGCAGCUGACCCACUGCACACUCAUAGGCUAAUAUACCUCUUGAGAAGUAGCUAAUUUGCCUAUAGGUGUGGUUUCUGCCUUGUAGUCCCAUCCAUUAUUUUUAAAACUCUAGAAUUAUUUGUCAAACCUAAAUCCUCAACCCAAGUCAGAUGUAGAAUGGCACUAAGUGUGACUUAGAUAAACUCCAGAAAAAUCAAUUAAUAUAAAUAGUAUAAAAAAGCUACAAAUGGAAGCAAGUAGGGCCCAGGAUGAUUUUUCCGAUGGACAUUUUUGCUGUAACAUACAUAAUGCUAGCUGGCAAACAGCAAGUUUUGACACUGUUAUUUGUCCAUGGCUGCUCAGUGUGUAAAUCAGAAUGAUGCAUAUAGUCGACACAUCAGGGGUAUAUGGAAAACAAACUGCCCAAUCACUCUGGGCCUAACAACUUAGAGACCACAAUGAUAUACUGUAAGGUUGGUACUGCUGACUUCAAAAGCAGUAAAUCACACUACCGCCAGAAGGUAUUGACAAAAUUAAGCAACCAAGAUUGAACAGAAAACAAAAGCUUUUCUGCAUAUUUAGUUAUUUCAUAUUCAGAUCUUCUGAAACUUAUUUUAUACCCUUUUUUGGAUUUUAUGAAAUUACUUUAAUUCUGUAUGGGUAGUGGGUUUAUAAAGCAAUUAACAAUGCAGUCAUAAGGAUCUGUGGCUGUAAUCUGUACUUCCCCAAACUACAUUUCACCAAGUAUUAACUGUGAUACCAUAAAGAAAAUCCUAUAUUUUAUCAGAAUAAUGCAGGAGGUUGCUGAGUAAGUGUUGGUUCAUAUUAGUUAAUGCAUUUCAUAUAUAAUGUACAGUAAGGCAAAAAAUAAAAUGGGUUUAUUGGUCACACCUCUUUUAAAUGCUGUCAGAGUAGAAUACUUCUAAUUAGUUGUAAAGAAUAUCCUGUGCCUUAAGAACUCCUGUAAUUGGUGUUAGUGUGUACCCAUCUAAAGGUACAAAUCUGAGAUGCAAACUCUGGGAAAAUGUAAAUCCAGAUUUUGGCAGAGUGGCUUGAUCCUGUCUAACUUCAGUAUUCAAAACAACAAUUGGAGAGAAUAAUUAAUUCUGAGUUUGGCCCAGCGAAAACAUAAAGGCACAGUCUCAUAGUGCUUUUCUCUCUGCCCAGCGAGAAAUGAUAGUUAUAAGCUCUAGAAAAUAUUUCACAGGAGAUGUUGGUGUGCAUCUGACUUUCCUUCAUAUUUUAUCAGGGAUUUUUCACAUAAAGAAGCAAAAUUACUGCCCUUUGACUACUUGCUCCAACCAACAAACCACUACUUGCAGUAAGUGGGGUGUUUACACUAUAGCAAGUGAAUGAGUUUCUGCAAAUAAUGUCACCACCUCAAACAAGAAUGAGCAGGCUGCAAAGGUGGCUAAUGCAUUGCUAGGCAUUUAAAACUUCCUGACCUUUCUCCCUGGGGUUUAUAAAGUAUAAUAUGAUAGUUCCUGGCAAAAUAGGAAGGGGUAAUGCUAAAAAACCUAAGAAUAUAAAUUUGUUCAUUGUGGGUAAAAGAUAGGGUGCCCUGAAGUAACCAUGGACAUAAAAGAAAUUAAAACCAAACCUAGCUCUGUAGGAAGAAAGUAUUAUUACUAAUCACAAUUAGCCAAACAACAGUCACCUCUUAAACGCUGGGCAGUUUUCGCUUUCUCGCCCCCUUUUAUGCUCUAUGCUUUUCAGUGCACCCUGCUCCCAUUUACCAUGUCAUCCUCUCCCAAGAUAUUCUGUGUGUGCCUGUAUCACCAUUCCCAGUGUCCCUUGCUCUGCUAGCAUGGGUUUGAGUGGCAGUGAGAAAUCUGUAAGCAGGUGUUGUGGAAGUGAAGCGUGCCAUUUCGGCCAGUACAUUAGGUAAAGUAACGUUCCCUUGGGAACUCUAAUGCUUACAACUGCAUCAGCCCCAACUGUUCCUGCGAGAAAAGAAAGAGGCCAGUCCUGACCUGUUCUGACCAGAUGUUUUGGAAAUGUGCCCAUUUUUAGCAGAUAUAAUUGCUGUUAAUUUAUCAAAAGUGCAAUAGGUACUAACAAAGCACACUCUACUUACAAUCUAGCAAUAAAAUGUAAGAGACAAAAUAAGGGGUACAGAAGAGGUUAUGUUUGAACCACAGAAUCACAGAACUGUAGGGGCUAGAAGGGACCUCUAGAGAUCAUCGAGUCCAACCCCCCUGCAAAGCAGGCCUCCUACAGCAGGCUGCACAGGUGUAUAGUGCAUAGGACUUUAUUCAAUACUAGUUUAUGAUAAUUUCCAACAUAAUCCACUCUGUGUAAUAGAUAUGAUAUGACUGAUUAAUAAAUGGAUGCAGGGGAAAAAAAGAUAAUUUUUCAUUAUCCUUUGCCAAAAUUGUUCAGGAAUCUCUGUAGACUGCAGACUGCAUUCUGUAGACUACAUGUAAGAAAAGGGGAAGGAAACGUAACGAAAGCUACUGAGUUUUAACUGUGUGUCGGGUUCAUUUGGAAAGCUUACAUCUUAUUCUUUAAACUCUGGAAAGAGAGAAUCCAACCUGCACAAACAAAAGGAAAUGAUGGUCAUGUCCUUUUAUUAAUAUCCUUUGAAAUUACCGAAAUCAGAUUUGUCACAUGAAAAAAAAAACAUUUACAAAAAUAAUUAUUUUGUUUUCCUUCUUCCUCUUUCACUUACUUUACAGUAUCUGUCUUGUUCAGAGGGCUAAAGGGCAGCCCACCAAUUUUCUAAGUAUUUUCAUUUUCAGAACAUGAAUACCUUUUCUGAGCAUAAAUAUGUGGGUGCUGUCAUUCCCAUUAUCAGUUUGAAGUGCAGGGAUUUCAUUCAGUUCUGCAUGUCUCAAUAGGGUAAAGUAAUUUUUUUCUAUGAGGAUCAGUGCAAUUACAGUAAGCUUGCACUCCAGGAAACAAGGGGUUUUAUAGGCUUGAAUUUCUGGAUUUCUGAGGCAUUUAUUCAGCCUUUAUCUUUGCACUUAUUAACAAAAAUUUGCUGAUCGCCAAGAAGUAAACUAUCAGAAUACUCAGCUUAAAAUCAGAAUGUCUUUUUCCGAAAUUGAUAGUCUUGAUGAGUUACAAGAUUUUUUUUUCCACACACCACAAACACUUCAAUAAUAAGAAUUGUGUUACUAUCUUAUUCAUAAUGCAAAGGUGUCAUUUAAUAAUAAACUUGUUCAGCAGUAUGGUUUUGCAUUUGCUCUUUCUGACAAAUUAGAAAGACUAUGCAAUUUUCAUUCUUUUUUUUUUUUUUUUUAACUAUGUUAUUUGUAGAAAACAUUCCUUCUCAAGCAUAGCUUUCAUGGUAUAUAGUGCCUAUCUGUGCAUACAGAGCAUCCCAUAUGGUUACAGUGGGCCGGAGGGGUUGCUACUAGCCAUAUUUUAAAAAGCAGAUGUUACUAAUCUUCUAAGUAUUACACCCAAAUGAUGUCACUUCUGACUGACAACAGUUGGGCUCAUCAAUCCCCUUCAAUGUCCUUUUGCAUGUAACGUGUAAAGGGAAAGAAAAUUUUGCUCAGGAAGCAUGUCUCUAAAAGGGCAGAUCACUUUAUAUUACUACUGAACUGUUGAGCAGAAUGUCAGUUCCUGCAGGGGAAUGUAUAUAUCUGUUAAAGGCAAGAAGGUAAAGAAGUUUGCCUAGUAAUAGGACAUGCAGGGAAACUUUUAGGACAGCCAUUUCAGAGUCAGGCUACAAUGUGACAAGCUGAGGGUUUUAGCUCAAAGUGCCUGUCUGCAUCGUGCAAUACACAAAGGCAACAUUCUUAUGCAUGUACAGAAGAUUUCCUUACAGGAUUGCACACGAAGGUACUAGGUGCUUCUGUGAACAAAGCCAGUGUGAAUUCCAGAGUUGCUUUUCAGUUGAUUGCAUUUAACAGCAGUGAAUAAACAAAGAUGAAAGCUAGCACUGAAGAUUUGGCCACAAAUGGUACAGAUUUCACAGAAAUGAAUAAAUAAGGUUUAAUUUCUGUGACAAUUGCAGAGCUAUUUUUUUUCAUUUUCCAUAUAAAUCCUUCGCCUCCUAAAUCUCACAAAGUAGUGAGUAAUAGUAGUGAAGAGUAGUAAUAGUGGAUGUGCUUUGGUGUCUUUUCUGGAUUUCCAGAAAGUUAAACACAUACACACACAAAAAUAGGCUAAUAUAUCCAGACAGUGCAUCAGAAACCAGUUACUACACCAAUGAUAGUAAUAACACAUAUCAAACUCCUUCUCUUCUGCUAGCAAUAGGAUCCUUCUUCAGUUUACUUUGGCAGGAAUUUCUUCCUCAGAUUCCCUCCCAGUGCUCACUCUGUGUAUUUCCCAUCCUAUUUUUGCUGUUACAUAAUAUUUUUUCUUACAGAUACUAUACUUUGCCAACUCUGUCUCUCUCCAUAUACACUUCACUCAGACAUUUGUGUUAAUAAUAUUCUGCAGAGAUUAUUCUCAGGGUUUAAUUAUCCACUGGUUUAAAAAUAAUUUUAUUUGACCCAUUUUGAACAUGUGGCCACAUAGUUUUGCAUUUGGGAUAUGAAUAAGAAUAAGAGAGAAUGAAUAAGAGAACUUAAUUUACCUUAUAAGUACCACAUUAACAGCUAUAUACUUGUGUGGGUUUUCCUGAUUAUCUGGAUAUUCCUUUCUAUUUCCUUAUUAUUUUCAACUUCUUUAUGGAAGGUUUUGUUACCUGUACAGUAACAAGACUGUAAGAGUCACUCCUCCGAACAGAGAAGAUGAAAACAGCUCAUAUGUUUCCAACUUCAGAGCCCUUUUUAGCUAAAAUUUGACCUGAAAGCUUUAUUUCAGUAAUUUUUCAGGCCCGUACAGCCAGAACUUCCCUCUUAGUUUCUCUUAACAUUAAUCUUUUACAUUCAGGGACAAAAACUCUUACAAAAUAAUAAAAGCAAAGACAUUCCACACUUUUGUACAUUUCCAUUCAAUAAAAAAGAUAUCUAUUUUUCAGUUGUAUGCUGGUAUCUC